Molecule: long non-coding RNA, 721 nt
Organism: Oncorhynchus kisutch (coho salmon)
Lineage: Eukaryota; Metazoa; Chordata; Actinopteri; Salmoniformes; Salmonidae
Exons: 4
Source: RefSeq, a predicted model, not a curated record
AGCGUACACAAAUUAAUGAUGCUGAGGAGACACGCAUCAUCUAUAUGACCCUCUUGUGUUUUCACUUGUAGUUUAAAAAAAUAUAUUUCUCUGCAAAAGCAACCUUGCGGAUGUAACAAUGUCGAUGUCAACAUUUCAAAACGUUACGCUCGUAUCUUGCCGGGUGUUCUGCGUUCUUCUGGUUUCUGAAAAUGCUUCUAGGCGGAGGGAAGAAGGGUGCACAGACCGAGGAUAACAUCAAAGGUGAAGAGCGCCGUACCUGUCGAGCCCAGAUUUCCCUCGGUGAGAGGAGAGAACCGAAAUAAAAAGAUCACUGAUUGUGAGCUGACUCAGCUGCAGGAUAAGCUGAGGGAGACAGAGAUGGUAAUGGAGAGGAUUGUCUAAAGCCAGCUGCAGCUCUAAAAGGGUGACAGGGGGGAGUGCCGACCAAGAGGAGAGACUGCUUUUCCAGCUGAGAGAGAUCACACGGGUGAUGCAGGAGGGCCGCCAGGCGGAGGGGGUCACCCCACCAGAGAUAUUGGCACUUUUUAUUGCUUAUAUGGCAUCAUUAAAGACUUGUCUGAAUAUGUCAUCCACACUCAACAAUAUGGGAACUCACUCUACAUACUUAGAUGAAGUUGUGUGGAAAAAGGAAUGGGGUGGUGAAAUAAUUUUCUGUCAUGGACAAAGGAUCUCAAAGGGUGUGAUGAUAUUAAUUAACAAACAUUUUGAUCUGAAUGUG